This 301-nucleotide ribosomal RNA is filed under the name uncultured bacterium. RNAcentral describes it as "partial 16S ribosomal RNA". It matches the Rfam family "Bacterial small subunit ribosomal RNA", at positions 509 to 807 of the family's 1533-position model. The record is from RNAcentral.
CAGCAGCCGCGGGAAUACAGAGGGUGCAAGCGUUAAUCGGAAUUACUGGGCGUAAAGCGCGCGUAGGUGGUUUGUUAAGUUGGAUGUGAAAUCCCCGGGCUCAACCUGGGAACUGCAUCCAAAACUGGCAAGCUAGAGUAUGGUAGAGGGUGGUGGAAUUUCCUGUGUAGCGGUGAAAUGCGUAGAUAUAGGAAGUAACACCCGUGGCGAAGGCGACCACCUGGACUGAUACUGACACUGAGGUGCGAAAGCGUGGGGAGCAAACAGGAUUAGAUACCCCCGUAGUCCCUGUCUCUUAUAC